Tympanuchus pallidicinctus (lesser prairie-chicken) is the source of this 4237-nucleotide long non-coding RNA. RefSeq lists it as uncharacterized. The record is from RefSeq and is a predicted model, not a curated record. The transcript has 3 exons. NCBI's taxonomy places the organism in Eukaryota, Metazoa, Chordata, Aves, Galliformes, Phasianidae.
UUCUAUUUUCAUCCCAAAACACAUUUUAUUGGGAGUUGUUAGGUAGAUGGCCUCUCAUGCACAAACUCAUAAAGCAAGGUUUAUUUCAAUUUUCUCAGUUAAAGUCAGUGCACAGUCGUAUGGUAACUGUUGAGCCAUGGGCUGAACCACUGAGUGAGCACCUGGAGAAAAGACCUGUUCAGCCCUGGGAGCACAGGUGAAGGCAAUUCAUCUGUGUGACUAGAAGGGGUGGAGCCUUGUUCCACCUCUCUUAGGCCUCAUUUAAGGGGUGACUGCCCUUAGGUAAGAAUCUUUUUCUGGAGGCCUCCCUUUAGUGAAGCUUUUCUCCAUGAAUCUGGGCUUUUCUGAAAUGGUUUGCAGCAGUAGAGGACCAAUGGUGGAUCUCUGUAAGUAUGGAAAAUUGAAAAUCUUUCAGGGUGUGAAUAGUUAAAUUGGAGAUGUUCAAGCAACCUUGACUCCAAAACAAAGCUGUGGUAGAUAAGGCUGCUGCUGAGCUCCAGAAGUACAGAAAACCACAUCUGCAGAGGAUUCAUUUUCAGCCCUAAAAUCUGGAGAAAUGAAGUAAAGUUUACUACUGAACUAGAAUGAUAUUUUUUUUUUUACCUGCCUGAAGCAAAGAUGUAAGAUUUGGAUUUACUCUGAACCACUAAUUCUCCAUUUCUACCAGUGCUUCAAAGAGUUAUCAUUCAUUUUGUACCACUUUUUACAUCUCCAUUGCCCUUCUUUAAGUUUGCUCUUCUCUGUGUGUCUGACCUCUGGUAGGGAUGGGGACGUUAAAAGAUCCACUGAUCUGUUGAGAGUAAAGACUAGGACUUCAAAAAAGAUGAAUGUGUAUUUACACAUUGGGUUUACUUUUGUCACUGAAACUUGAAUAUGUUUUUAAAAAUGGGGCAGGGUUUGUUCGUAGUAUGGUAACUUUUCUUAUGUCUUUCGGUAUACAUUUGUGGUUGAACAAAGAUGAAGAUUCCUAUUUCACAGUAUUUCCAAUUUAAACUACAGUAUUAAUACAAACAUUAAAGGAGUGUUAUGAUUAUCUCCUUGCACGAGAGUAUGGCAAUGUAUUUGAAUAUAAAAUAGCAAAGGUUGUAAUAUCCCACUUUCUUCUGCUAAACCACUUCAUACAGUUGUGCAUUAACAGGAAAAUGUUUGAGAGAUGAGAUGAUUUAAGAUGAGGUUAAAUGAAUUAAAAUCUUACAGAUAUUGUGAAAAUUAUGGGCUUCAUAUGUCUUACAUAUUUUAGUAAUACCUCCAGAUCAGCGGACUUGCAUGUUCUUAUCUUUGUAUGUAAUUCUGUUGUGAUUGAAGUAAAAUAGUGUGUGAUACUCUAAGGAUCAUAGCCUCAACUAAUAAAUAUGGAAACAGUGUAAACUUUCUGUUAAAGGAAUUAGACAUGUAACAGCAAUUGCCCUGUCUCUUAGAAUUGCCCUGAAAUCCCAUCUGAGAUGCUCUCUGGGCAGAUGUCUUUGCUUGCAGUGUCUAAAGUAACACUAGAUAUCAAUAUUUAAGCACAGAAUUGUUUUCAUUGUUUAUUGCUUGGUUGCUUCUUGCGUCUUACAGGAGUAGAAAAAUCUCAGAUAUAAUUAGACAGCCGUGGAGGUUUGCCCUUGGAGUGCAGAUCUAAGUUGUGGAUUUUUUUUACAGCUGUUCCUGAAGCUUGCAAAAGGUUGUGUGGAAAGCAGCUGCUUAGAAGCCUUAUUUUAACAGGAACCUACACUAGGGAAUACUUCUGGUUUUCUCUACGUUUAUGCCCAUCCAUUGUCUUUGUGGAAAAAGAACUGUGCCCCAUUGUCUUUGAUCUGGAAUAUGCUGUGAGAAAUUUGCCACCAGUUUUUCUUGUAUGAAUUGUUCCAGGGACUGAACAUGCACAAAGAAACAAAAUACCUGUUAGUGAAAGUAUUCUUCCUCAUAGUUAGGGAAAAGUAUUUUAAGAGAAAAUCUUGAGGCAAACUUUACUGAUACAAGCAAUGUAUUCUCACAUAUCUUAGUAACUUCUGUAUUGAAUUACUACAUGCACAUUAAAUUCAUCUUUAUUCUUUGGAUUAAUAUAGCAGAGUAGCUCCAAUUUUGAACCUCCACACAAGCCUGAAAAAGUAUAUACGAAAGUAGUUGGGUCAUAUCUUAAUCCAAAUGAACUUUAUUUAGGUAAUCAUUUUAAAAGCUCUACGAGGUUGAUAUUAGCUGAUUGACUAGUUUCCUAAAUCUAAGCCAAAGUCUUCACAAGUGCUGCAAUAUCAUAACAGGACUAUAAUUAUCCAAUAGCUUUUCAUUGCUCUAAAUAUUUUAAAGGCAUUUAGGGUACUUAAAGACACUAUUAAAAAGUACUCCUUUUCACUUCUCCUGGAAGCCAGUCAGAAAUGUGUUUUCCUGCCUGUCUGAAGGUACUGAACCAGUUCGCUUUAUGAAAAAGCAGUUCGACAACUUUUGUCAUCAUUGUUUUGUAGAUGACAGUUUAGGACAGGACAUGGUUUGUAAUUAGCAUUAUCAGGAGUAUUCUUUAGACGUGUGCAUUUCAAUUUUGCAAUUCCUUUUACAGAUUCAGUCUCAGAAGUGUAAAUGAUUUGUUUCACUUCAGCUUGACAACAUCAGUAUAGUGAGUUUCUAGAUAGCUCUAUUUUAAUGCCCAACUAAAAUUUGGAUUCACAAAAGUGAAAAGGAGGCUUUGCUGGCUCUGAUAGAUGACUUUUAUUAGAAAUUUUGCAGGAGUUCUUAUAUUAAAAUAUACCAUAUUAGCUCCAGUAAAGGCUCCACUAGCUCUUUGUUCUUCGUGCCACAGAAGUGAAAUCUAUUUUGAGUGUCCUUCAAUAACUUUGUCUUUACACUUAGAUCUCUCACUGGAUGAAUACUUGUACAUAUUUUUGUGAAUCAUUAAAAUUUUCACUCUCCUUCAUCAACUGAGAGAAAGAAGGGAAAUAUAUGGAAAGUGGAAUCAGGGUUGUGUAUCCUGAGAGGAAUACACGACUGUUGUCUGUGUGUAAAGAGAUAAGAUUAGGAAAGCUAAGGUGCAGAUGGAGCUGAGCUAGGCAGCAGAUGUGAAAGAUAACAAGAAGGGGUUUUACAGAUACAUGGGCAGGAAGAGACUGGCCAAGGAGUGUGUUCUCCCUCUGAUGGUAGGUAAUAGGGAACUGGCUUCUUCAGACAUAGACAUAGAAAAAACUGAGGUACUCAAUGAGUGCUUUCCCUCAGUCUUCAUGGGUGGUCAGGCUUCCCAUGUCUGCCAGGACUGUGAGCCUCUAGGUGAGGGUAUGUGGAGUGGUUUCUGUCCCACUGUAAUGGUGGAACAAGUCUGAGUCCUUCUCAUGAAAUUGAAUGUGUAUCAGUCCAUGGGGCCAGAUGAUAUCUAUCCUAAGAUUCUGAAAGAGGUAGCUGAUGUGGUUGCCGAGCUGCUCUCCAUCAUGUUUGAAAAAUCAUGGCUGUUUGAAGUCCCAGGUGACUGGAAAAAGGGAAAUGUUACUCCCAUUUUUAAGAAAGGGAGAAAGGAAGACCUGGGGAACUACAAGCUACUGAUCCUCACCUCUGUGCCUGGGAAGAUCAUGGAGCAGAUCCUCCUAGAAGCUAUGUUAAGACACAUAUGAGAUAAAGAGAUGUUUUGAGAUAGCCAGUGUGGCUUCACCAAGAGCAGAUUGUGCCUGACCAAUCUGGUGGCCUUCUAUGAUGGAGUGACAACUAUGGUGACUGAGGGAAGAGUGGUGGAUGUCAUUUACUUGAACUUCUACAAGGCCUUUGACAUAGUUCCUCACCACAUCCUUCUCUCUAAAUUAGAGAGCUGUGGAUUUGAAGGACGGACUGUUUGAUGGGUUAGGAAUUGGCUGGCUGGAUGCAGCCAAAGGGUUGUGAUCAAUGUUUCUGUGUCAAAUCACAAGGAGGCCAGUCACAAGCAGUGUCCUUCAGGGGUUGGUCUUGGGACUAGUGCUUCAACAUCUUCAUAAUGACAUAGAUGAUGGCAUCGAGUGCACCCUCUGUAAGUUUGCAGAUGGCACCAAGCUGAAUGGUGCAGUUGAUACACUGGAGGGAAGGGAAGCCAUCCAGAGGGACCUGGACAGGCUGGAGAAGUGGGCCCGUGAGAACCUAAUGAGGUUCAGUAAGGCCAAGUGCAGGGUGCUGCACUUGAGUCGGGGCAAUCCUAGGUAUUUAUAUGAACGGGGGGAAGAUCUCCUUGAGGGCCCUGCGGAGAAGAACUUGGAGUUCCUAGUAGAUGAGAAGCUGGAUGUGAGCCAGCAGUUGUGUGCUUGCAGCUCUG